UAGACGCGUGGUUCGUUCCGAUUUAUCCGGCACGCGGGAUAKUAGAUGUGCACGUUUCUGCCAUCGGUUACGCCAAUACGACAACAGCCAGCACCGAUUUCCUGUGACCAGAAUUCAGGCUGUGGAAUAUGACAAUAAGCGAGCAAUGUGUGGAAAUGCGACUUUAUACCAUUUUUUUUUAUGCUGAAGUUUGCUGAACUCUUUUUACUCUACUAAUUUUAUUCUCUGUACCUCGUCUUUUUUCUUSAUUUGAGGCAGACUCUCUGUGCUUUUUUGUGCCACAAGGCUCUUAUCMAUAUACUCUGCACCUAUUGCAAUUAAUCCGCAGUGUUGUUGCUCUCCAGACCCUGCAAGCAUUGACCUAAUUCUGCUCCCGGGCUUUCAAGUUUAACGACUUUGACUUUCRUGCUGAGUUUCACAGUGCCCGGACUAGGGAUCUUAGGCGUUCCUCCAAGCAAAUGAUAACGCUUUACUUUAUUUUGGGAAGUAGAUUAAGGGCUGAGAUAGCUUUUUGGAAAAUCCCACAUGUUACACGAUUGUGGAACUUUUUUUUGAUGUAACUGACUGGUUCAAAUUGAACAUGUUUAGAUGGCUGAAACAAAAGACAUCGAACUCGUAUGCAGAGUUUAGAAGCCAAUGUCUGAACCCCAGGAAAUACUGCCCAAAUCAUCAUGGAAAUACUGCCCAAAUCAUCAUUUAAAGUGUCAGCACUGGACAUAAUGAAAAACAAAUUUGCAACUAAUCGAGACAGCAUGGUUACAAAGUGAUUUUUCUGGAGUCCAAGAACUCUGUGGUGUUUGGGGGAGAAAACAURCAUAAAAAUCCAGCAUCACAUUAACCCAUUUGGAAAUCAGAGUUACGACAAGUUACGACGAGCGAGCGCCGGACAAAAACUAGUAAAAGAUGAAACAUAUGCACUUUUGCAAACCCCUCACAGAGACUGCUACGCUCAGAAGACUUCUGUGAGUAAAAGCAAGCCCAUCAUUAAGAGGGUUGUAUACCGUAUACAAACCAGACGACGCAAGAAACUCCGUAUUUCUGCAAGGAACCUCCGGCUCCAGCAGUCUGCCUCGGUCGGCUCCACCAGCAUUCCUGCUUUCCUCCACCCUUWGGUGAACUCAGAGUCCUUGCAGGUUAUAUAAUGAAUUUUCAGAAGACUUAACAAGGUUACUGCUGCUGAAGUGCUUAUAUCUCAGAGGACUGGGAAAAAGAGAUAAGCCACACAACUCUACAAAAYCUUUCCGUCGCUGGAAUCCCCCAGACUUCGUAUUUCAGCAGCUGGGACAACUACCUUGACAAUACGCAGCCGUCAUCAAUCUGCCACUACAUAUGUUUUAAAUACGACASAGCUCCAAUUAUAAAUUACUUACUUGUUUCUGUAUUAUUUUAAAUGGUAGUUAAGAAGUUCAAAGCCAUUUCAUUACUACUGCAAAAUUUAUCUGUGGGGACAUUAGAAUGAAAAGUACUUAUUUGCUUUGUGACUUAAAUUGCACCAUUGUGGAGUAUCAGCUUGCAUUUUAAAGCAGUAAAUUCACAAAAUUACAUUAUGUUUAUAGUUGUCAUCAAAAUAUAAAAAGGAACAUUAAUCUUCCAGAAUUUAAUUUUGCCUGGAUUUUAAUUCCAUUCCUUAUUACCAAAGGGAUUUAUAGAUUUUUUUUCAUGAUAUGUCUGCCUUCACAAAGUUUAUGUUUGAAAAAAUGAUAUGCUACAGUACUGGAGUAAUUUUCUAGUUGAUAGUUUUAGUAUUGCCCUCUUAUUCUCUAAUAAUUUACAUACAAGCAUUACGGCACUCCAUUUUUGUCUCGGUUCGAUAGGAAUUUUAUGCCUGUAAUAUUUCAGCCCUCUGCUGAGACGGAGUGCUGGGGUUCUCGCUGCACGGAGAACCCGUUAGCUUCGCCCAGGUCCUGCACCAGCUUCUCGCAGCUCSGCUCAGCGUAGGGGUGGAGCUUCUUUUAGCUGUCAAGUGCUUAUGUAUUGAUAGAUUCAGGUUSCUUUCCCAGCAAACUUUACCUUUCCAUCUCUUUCCCGUGUGACAUCUCCUAGAGCAUGGGCUGUCUGGGUAUCGCUGACAUCUCACGCCUCACUACUUGCCUCCUAGCCACGUGAGUGACCUCCUAUACCUCCUCUUUCAUGCRAACACUGCCGUUCUGUAUUAGCUCAAUGCAAAAAAAACAUUAACUAGUUAAUACCACGUGAGUAUUAACUUCUCCUCCUUAAGGAGAAGUGCUAAGAUUAUUUUUCCUCCGUUGCUUUUCAUGGGCAAAUAUUUUAUUAAACAGAUGGGAGUCUGAUGGGAGGCCAGUACCUGUCAAGGUAUGUCAGAUAUAAUAUCCCAGGCAUAGCUGCCAAAUGUGCACCGAUMUGAUAGCGGUCUAUUUUGUCCAGCACAAUUUUGCUUUGAAGUCUUGCCCAAGGUACAAGGUGAUAAAGGUCUUGUACCUAACAGAUGGUACAUGCAUUUUCACUUGUGCUUUAAGUUUCCAAAUAAAAUAAAGCGAAYGA
RNAcentral lists this long non-coding RNA (2502 nucleotides) under Dromaius novaehollandiae (emu). RNAcentral describes it as "lncRNA (ENSDNVG00000001594.1)". The record is from RNAcentral. Lineage: Eukaryota; Metazoa; Chordata; Aves; Casuariiformes; Dromaiidae.